AUUGAACGCUGGCGGCAUGCCUUACACAUACAAGUCGAACGGCAGGGGGGGAGAAGCUUGCUUUUCCUGCCGGCGAGUGGCGAACGGGUGAGUAAUACAUCGGAACGUGCCCUGUAGUGGGGGAUAACUAGUCGAAAGAUUAGCUAAUACCGCAUACGACCUGAGGGUGAAAGUGGGGGACAGCAAGGCCUCAUGCUAUAGGAGCGGCCGAGGUCUGAUUAGCUAGGUGGUGGGGUAAAGGCCUACCAAGGCGACGAUCAGUAGCUGGUCUGAGAGGACGAUCAGCCACACUGGGACUGAGACACGGCCCAGACUCCUACGGGAGGCAGCAGUGGGGAAUUUUGGACAAUGGGCGAAAGCCUGAUCCAGCAAUGCCGCGUGUGUGAAGAAGGCCUUCGGGUUGUAAAGCACUUUUGUCCGGAAAGAAAUGGCUCUGGUUAAUACCUGGGGUCGAUGACGGUACCGGAAGAAUAAGGACCGGCUAACUACGUGCCAGCCGCCGCUGUAA
Molecule: ribosomal RNA, 508 nt
Filed under: uncultured bacterium
Lineage: Bacteria
Description: partial 16S ribosomal RNA
Rfam family: Bacterial small subunit ribosomal RNA
Source: RNAcentral